AUACGGAGGAUGCAAGCGUUAUCCGGAUUUAUUGGGUUUAAAGGGUGCGUAGGCGGGACUGUAAGUCAGGGGUGAAAUACUGCAGCUUAACUGUAGCAUUGCCUUUGAAACUGCCGUUCUUGAGUACAGUUGAGGUAGGCGGAAUGUGGUGUGUAGCGGUGAAAUGCAUAGAUAUACCACAGAACGCCGAUUGCGAAGGCAGCUUACUAAGCUGUUACUGACGCUGGGGCACGAAAGCGUGGGGAUCAAACAGGAUUAGAUACCCUGGUAGUCCACGCUGUAAACGAUGAUUACUGGUUGUUAGCGAUAUAUAGCUAGUGACUGAGCGAAAGCAUUAAGUUGUCCGCCUGGGGAGUACGGUCGCAAGACUGAAACUUAAAGGAAUUGACGGGG
RNAcentral lists this ribosomal RNA (393 nucleotides) under uncultured bacterium. RNAcentral's name for it is "partial 16S ribosomal RNA". It matches the Rfam family "Bacterial small subunit ribosomal RNA", at positions 523 to 918 of the family's 1533-position model. The record is from RNAcentral.